Molecule: transfer RNA, 75 nt
Filed under: Eubacterium pyruvativorans
Lineage: Bacteria; Bacillati; Bacillota; Clostridia; Eubacteriales; Eubacteriaceae
Also listed under: 1 other name
Description: tRNA_Cys_GCA
Rfam family: tRNA
About the family: Transfer RNA (tRNA) molecules are approximately 80 nucleotides in length. Their secondary structure includes four short double-helical elements and three loops (D, anti-codon, and T loops).
Source: RNAcentral
GGCGGCAUAGCCAAGUGGUAAGGCAAAGGUCUGCAAAACCUCUAUCCCCCGGUUCGAAUCUGGGUGCCGCCUCCA